GGAUUGACGUGGCGGUCGUGCCUUAAGGGGUAUGAACUGUCGCAGUUGAUUUCUCACCUUCUGGAGAAGCAUGAUGUCCUUAAUUGGGUGUCAUGUGGAACCAGGACCUUUACCUUGAAAAAAUUAGAGUGUUUAAAGCAGGCUAACGCUUGAAUACAUUAGCAUGGAAUAAUAGAAUAGGACGGCAUGGUUUUAUUUUGUUGGUUUCUAGGAUCACCGUA
This 221-nucleotide ribosomal RNA is filed under the name Campeiostachys nutans. RNAcentral's name for it is "Elymus nutans partial small subunit ribosomal RNA". It matches the Rfam family "Eukaryotic small subunit ribosomal RNA", at positions 665 to 864 of the family's 1831-position model. The record is from RNAcentral. Lineage: Eukaryota; Viridiplantae; Streptophyta; Magnoliopsida; Poales; Poaceae.